UGUUUGGGACGGUAUAAAUUUAGGCGAACUCAAUUGUCAGUUGGCGCCGCGACUAAAAAACAAACACAAAUUGCACAACACAAGUCGGAAAAUUAAAAUAAAUAUCGCUUUAAAAUGUAUUAUAUUUUCAAUUAGAACGCUUAACCGUCAGAUGACUUACACACCCGACAUCGGUUGUACAAAGUACACUCAAGUAGCCAGCCAAUAGUUAACACUUUACCUGAUCCCAGUGGAACCGCCAUGAUUGGUUCUUCAGUUUGAACUACCGUCGGUUUAACGGUUACUCGUUCCGUUGUGGUGUGCAGUUUGGUGUCUACCUUCUGUUUCGAUCGGCGGCGAAAAGUUGUUGGCCACCAAAACGGGUGGUUCGUCGACAUCCGAAACGUUGUAAAUGCGUUCCACCGGUAAAUAAGUGUCCAGUAUUGUGGGUACAGUUGGUUCCCGGGGCUCAUCCACUACAGCAUCUGCUGCGACGAAAGGUAUAAUCCUGUUCAAACAAAAGCACUUAUGUAGCAAAAACCAGAAACUACCGUUUGGAUGUACUUAUUGCCGGAACAAGUUUUGUACAACAAAAAAAAAAAAAAAAAUACAAGCCGAAUUAUAAUUUACAUGUAUAUAAAAAUGAAUUUCCGUCAUACCGUCGUUAUACUCUGUCCCCCAUAAAAAUUGUUAAGAGGUCGUCGCACCGCCUAUUUUUAAGGAGUAAAGUAUAGGCAAUUUUUCACAAAAUCUUAAUUUAAAGGUUAAACUGUGAUGUGUUAUUAUUAGUUCAAUAAUUAGGACUCUAUUUUGGUAGUUAAUUUAUUUUUCGGACUAUCACAGCAUCCUUAAAAGCGAUUUAAAAAUGUUUUUUUAUCUCUACAUGUUUAAGCAGACUGAAAAUAACUCGCUUAAUUUUGGUUUUAGAGUAAAAGCACCCAUUAUAAAAUUAAAAUUGAACAAUAUUCCGGAGGGCAAGACGGUGCGUUUUUUUUCAUUAUUCCAAGUAUAACGCUCAAUACAUAGUUUAGAAAUAACGACUAUUUGGACAUUUUUAAAUGACUGUAACUUUUCAAAAAAUGAAUUUAAAACAAAAAAAAAACGCACCGUUAUGCCCUACGGAAUAUUGUUUUGUUUUAAUUUUAUAAUGGGUGCUUUUACUCUAAAACCAAAAUCAAGCGAGUUAUUUUCAGUUUGCUUAAACGUGUUUUUACCACUGAAAAUCACCGGUGCGACGCACUCUUAAUUAAAACGUCUACCCGGUUCUUGUUUGUUCUCAUCAUCUCUCCCCACACUACUUAUGCAUAUUUUUUUCUAUCGAUUUAUUUUUGUAACUUUUUAAAAAAAAGUAUAUUAUUCCAAGAUCAAUAUGAAAUUAUUUACUUGAGAUUAGGUAAAGACGGCGGCAACGUCGGUUCGUCGUAAUCGAAUUCAAACGCGUUGGACUUUUCGGUAAUGUUCAAACCGUCGUCUCCGGUCAUCGAGCUUACACCGUGUCUGGACUCUGCCGGAUCGAUUGGUGAUAAGUUAACCAACGGAUCUCUUACAUUAUCCGCCGCCGGUUCAGUGACGAGAACGGCCUCGGUUUGAAUCUCAACGCCGGGUAUUUCCUGUAAAUACACGGUUAUGUUAUUUAAAUUGCAUACACUACGUGCUUCACGGCGCAAAAUACCAUUAAUUAUUCUCGAACUACAAUAUCAUCUCGGUUAUUUUUAUUUAAACUAGUAUAAUCGUUUAAAAUUAUUACUCGUACAAAGUUAAAGCAAUCGACAAUGAUAAUUUAGAGAAUUAAAAAGUCGGCACGGUAAAGAGACAGUGUAGUCGGUGUAUGUAACAUGACACAACCGAGACUCUAAUAAUAUCGUAUUUAAUUUGUGUUUCGAGUAUUAGGGGUAGAACGACCAUUAUGUGGUUGAACGUCUGCAUCAAUCACGAGUGUGCAGUUAUUUUGUAAGCUAAAUGAAUUACCGUGGAAGGAGAAGACGUCGGUGGCGAAUAAGUCGCCGUAGGCGUCGUCGGUGUGGUCGACGAGGUGUCGUUCAAGAGGACCGCGGUCGUGUCGGGCGACGUCAGUACCGUUGUGAUGUUGAUGUUCGAUUCUGAAAGCAAAACGGGCCGGACAAUUGAUAAUUAUUCAGCGUUGCGCCAAAGUGUUGUGUAGAAGGCGAAAUUGUUAUUUUAACAACGAGAUAAUAUUUCGAACGCGUGGACGGUGAUGGAUUCUCGGGAACAGCAAGAGUCAGUGACCCUGCGGCGGUAUAGUUGUAGCUGGUCGGGCAACAGUGUCCUUCCGUGUAGACCGGUCCGCAAUUGGGCGAAAUUUGGGUGCGGAUUGCCGGACAUAUCACCUUGUCACACCGUACUUGCCCGUUGAUGCAGAAACAAGUUUCGCACGACGACCUGGCCACGCCGAUCACGGGUUCGCCCAGCGAUAUCAGCCGACCGUUGAUGCGACAAUCUGAAAACGACCGCCAAAUCCAAUAAUACAACAACUUGAUGGCCGUACAGCCUGGAAUGACCAUGAAGCACUUGGGUCGAACGCAUUGUUGCUGUCCCUUGAUGCAGUAACAGUAUUCGCAUAGACUUGAGCUGUCCAUGGCCGAACCUUCGGCGUAUACUGUACCGUUAAUCGCGCAACCUUAUGUACGGAGAAAAUAACAUUGUACUCGUCAGUGGAUGUUUAAGAAUAUAAAUUGAAAGAAAAAAAAAAAUGACCUCUUAAAUACCUCUGGGUAAACCACCGUCAGACACCCCGACUGCAGAGUUUUCCAUCCUUCCAGGUCCUUUACGAGAUUCGAUUGAAAACAGUUUCGUGUGAACACCUCCAAACAGGUCUACAAUAAUGUAAAAACGUUGAAAUUUUAUGAUUUGCAGAGCUGUCACGAUUUAUUAGCUACUACUACUACUGCUACUACUACUUAAAUGUUAACUAAUUAAAAAAAUAUAUAUAUAUAUAUGAAACGAUUACCCCCGGCUGAGUCUGCAUAAUAUUGCCUAACUCUUGUGUUGGUUAUUAAAAUAUAGGACCAAUGUUUAAAUAAAUAGAAUGCAAACGGAUUUAUUUUUUUAUCGUAUGAUCAGGGUCGACAUGCAAUUGUGUGAUAGUCUCCAAGCGAGUGGUCCCUUCUAAGUAUUGUAUUUCAUUUUUAGAGCUAUAUUUUGUAUUUAUUUAAAAUUGAUUGGUGUUUUUGUUUGUGAAAAUAAUAGC
This is a long non-coding RNA of Adelges cooleyi (spruce gall adelgid), 3187 nucleotides long. RefSeq lists it as uncharacterized. The record is from RefSeq and is a predicted model, not a curated record. The transcript has 5 exons. NCBI's taxonomy places the organism in Eukaryota, Metazoa, Arthropoda, Insecta, Hemiptera, Adelgidae.